Molecule: ribosomal RNA, 783 nt
Filed under: Triticum aestivum (bread wheat)
Lineage: Eukaryota; Viridiplantae; Streptophyta; Magnoliopsida; Poales; Poaceae
Description: partial small subunit ribosomal RNA
Source: RNAcentral
AUGUACCGUCAUUGGUACGAGUCUUUCUUGCCCAAAUCACGCGAUGGUGACUCGGGCAAGUCACCUCUUCUGCACUCCUACACCGAGGUGUUCAGCGGCUUCGCCGCAAAGCUCACUGCCCGGGAGCUCAAUGCAGUCGCGAAGAAUCCGGGGUUCGUGCGCGCGUUUAGGGACCAAACACGGUACCUCAUGACCACACACAUUCCAAAGUUCCUUGGGCUCAGGAACGGCACCGGCAUCUGGAGCGACGCUAGCUACGGGAAGGGAGUCAUCAUUGGGUUGCUCGAUAGCGGCAUCUACGCGGAUCACCCUUCAUUUGAUGGUGACAACAUCGCGCCGCCCCCGGCAAGGUGGAAGGGAUCAUGCAUGGAGACCCGGUGCAACAGCAAGCUCAUCGGUGCACAGUCAUUCCUCGAAGAAGAUGAUGACCCUAGCGACCAACAGGGGCAUGGGACGCACACCUCAUCCACGGCAGCCGGUAACUUCGUCAGCGACGCGUCGUAUCAUGGUAUGGGAGCGGGCACCGCAUCAGGAGUUGCUCCUGGUGCCCACAUCGCCAUGUACAAGGUGUGCGCUGAUGGAGAAUGUAAUGAUUCCGCCAUAGUGGCCGGCCUCGACGCAGCCAUCAAGGAUGGGGUGGACGUGCUCUCACUCUCCAUUGGCCAUCUUGGCAGCCUCAGGUUCGAUAAAGCACCAUCGCCAUCAGCACAUUCAGUGCCAUAUCAAAGGGCAUCGUCGUGGUUUGCACGGGUGGUAACGAAGGACCCGAUUCACAUUCAGUAA